This 435-nucleotide ribosomal RNA is filed under the name uncultured bacterium. RNAcentral's name for it is "bacterial SSU rRNA". It matches the Rfam family "Bacterial small subunit ribosomal RNA", at positions 957 to 1391 of the family's 1533-position model. The record is from RNAcentral.
GAACGCGAAGAACCUUACCAAGGCUUGACAUGCACGGCGGCACUGCAGAGAUGUGGUGGCAUUUAGUUGGUCGUGUGCAGGUGGUGCAUGGUUGUCGUCAGCUCGUGUCGUGAGAUGUUGGGUUAAGUCCCGCAACGAGCGCAACCCUUGCCCUAUGUUGCCAGCACGUUAUGGUGGGGACUCGUGGGGGACUGCCGGGGUUAACUCGGAGGAAGGUGGGGAUGACGUCAAAUCAUCAUGCCCCUUAUGUCUUGGGCUUCACGCAUGCUACAAUGGCUGGUACAGAGGGUUGCGAUACUGUGAGGUGGAGCGAAUCCCUUAAAGCCGGUCUCAGUUCGGAUUGGGGUCUGCAACUCGACCCCAUGAAGGUGGAGUCGCUAGUAAUCGCAGAUCAGCAACGCUGCGGUGAAUACGUUCUCGGGUCUUGUACACACC